AAAAUAGACUUAAACUGGACCUUUGCUUAAAGGUCUGUUUCCCUAGCUUGCAAGGAUAGUCUUUCCCAUUAAUAGGAAGGUAUUCUGAACCCCUGGUCUAAUAAGCUCACAUUUGAACUCACAUGGACUUCCUUCUACCUAAACUUUCGAACUUUUUUUAGACACAGGAAGUAGCAAGAAGGGAGAUGCCAAGUGACAAUCACCAGGAAGAUGAGUUCAGACACUACUCACCUCGUCAGUCCACAGUCCGAUCCCCAGAGAAGAUGACUAGAGAAGGGUACCAAGUAUCUUUUUUGGACAAUAAGUCUUCAGGUUCUUCUCCAGAAAAGGAAUUGAUACCAAAACCCGAUACUUUUCAUCUUACCCAUGAUGCCUCAUUGAGUAAACGCCUGGAUGUGGGUGAUUCUAGCCAGAUCCAUCCCUAUCAGUUACCUUCAGAUGUUGGUCUGGAAAAUUGUGACAGUUGUUAUUCUCAAACUCUAUCCCUGCAUGGAAGUCUUGGUAAAAGGCCUCAGAGAAGCAAGAACUAUCAAGAGUAUAGCAUAAAGCCUUCAAAUGACAUAAAGGCCACCGCUUCACAUUCCUGUGGAGACUU
Molecule: small RNA, 595 nt
Filed under: Pongo abelii (Sumatran orangutan)
Lineage: Eukaryota; Metazoa; Chordata; Mammalia; Primates; Hominidae
Description: retained intron
Source: RNAcentral